CGUGACGCACUUCCGCUUCCGGCGAGGAGGUUUUCGGACCCCAGCCUGCUGGCCCUGGGGCGCGGGGCGUCGUGGGGGUGGUUGUCGUUGAGGGUGGUUGCCGUGUGUGGCGUCUUAGCUUGGCCCCUGGGUUGUGCCCCACUGACGCAGUCGACCCCUGUGAGCGCCUCGGGAGCCCCGAAUAGCAGCUGGGAGAAGGGGCGAGGACUGAGCCUCGCUUCCCGCUGCCGGCCGGGCUAGAGAUACGGGCGUGCCCCCCAUUGUGCGCCUCCCGCCCCCCGGUCCCCUCACCCUGCGGCCACCUGGGGCGUGGGGCGGUGCUCCUGCCCGUGCACGUAGCCGCUGCGAGCGGAGGCCUGCUCACCUGGUGCCUGCUACUCACUCCCCCGGGCCGGUGGGCGAAGGACACCCGCAGGAACUCGGCAGAGGAGAAAUCCAGACGGCUCCCGAGGAUGAGACAAGACCCCACGAGGACAGGCUCAGGACCACGAACAUCCUGCCUCUCCUAUAGCGGCCCCGUAGGCUAAGCCACAGGAGCCUCUGGAAACACAGGUGGUGCCCGCGCUGCCCCUUUGCCUGGACAACCCUACUCCACACUGAGCUCCAAGUCUCAGCUCCCACAUUCUUUUGCUGACCCAAGCCCUCGUCAGCUUGUACAGAUAAAGUCUCGCUCUGUCACCCAGGCUGGAGUGCGGUGGUGCGAUCUCGGCUCACUGCAACCUCUGCCCCCAGAGUUCAAGUGAUUCUCCUGCGUCAGCCUCCUCAGUAGCUGGGACUACAGGCAUGAGCCACCACACCCGGCCAGGUGCUCCUCGACCACCCGUGAGGCCACGUCCUGAUAAACCCGUGGUAGGUUAGAAAUACCGACAGCUGAAAUGCGCUAAUACACUUAACCCACGGAACAUCACAGCUGAGCCUUCUUGCCUUAUACACACUCAGCACCCUUCCAUUAGCCUACAGCUGGGCGAAGUCAUCCCCCACGAAGCCUCCUUUAUAAUAAUGCAUCAAAUGCCUCA
This is a long non-coding RNA of Gorilla gorilla gorilla (western lowland gorilla), 1016 nucleotides long. RefSeq lists it as uncharacterized. The record is from RefSeq and is a predicted model, not a curated record. Lineage: Eukaryota; Metazoa; Chordata; Mammalia; Primates; Hominidae. The transcript has 4 exons.